GAUGAACGCUGGCGGCGUGCCUAAUACAUGCAAGUCGAGCGAACAGAUGAGGAGCUUGCUCCUCUGACGUUAGCGGCGGACGGGUGAGUAACACGUGGAUAACCUACCUAUAAGACUGGGAUAACUUCGGGAAACCGGAGCUAAUACCGGAUAAUAUAUUGAACCGCAUGGUUCAAUAGUGAAAGACGGUUUUGCUGUCACUUAUAGAUGGAUCCGCGCCGCAUUAGCUAGUUGGUAAGGUAACGGCUUACCAAGGCAACGAUGCGUAGCCGGCCUGAGAGGGUGAUCGGCCACACUGGAACUGAGACACGGUCUAGACUCCUACGGGAGGCAGCAGUAGGGAAUCUUCCGCAAUGGGCGAAAGCCUGACGGAGCAACGCCGCGUGAGUGAUGAAGGUCUUCGGAUCGUAAAACUCUGUUAUUAGGGAAGAACAAAUGUGUAAGUAACUAUGCACGUCUUGACGGUACCUAAUCAGAAAGCCACGGCUAACUACGUG
RNAcentral lists this ribosomal RNA (497 nucleotides) under uncultured bacterium. Its description in RNAcentral is "partial 16S ribosomal RNA". It matches the Rfam family "Bacterial small subunit ribosomal RNA", at positions 28 to 507 of the family's 1533-position model. The record is from RNAcentral.